GACGAACGCUGGCGGCGUGCCUAAUACAUGCAAGUUGAGCGCUGAAGGUUGGUACUUGUACCAACUGGAUGAGCAGCGAACGGGUGAGUAACGCGUGGGGAAUCUGCCUUUGAGCGGGGGACAACAUUUGGAAACGAAUGCUAAUACCGCAUAAAAACUUUAAACACAAGUUUUAAGUUUGAAAGAUGCAAUUGCAUCACUCAAAGAUGAUCCCGCGUUGUAUUAGCUAGUUGGUGAGGUAAAGGCUCACCAAGGCGAUGAUACAUAGCCGACCUGAGAGGGUGAUCGGCCACAUUGGGACUGAGACACGGCCCAAACUCCUACGGGAGGCAGCAGUAGGGAAUCUUCGGCAAUGGACGAAAGUCUGACCGAGCAACGCCGCGUGAGUGAAGAAGGGUGUCGGAUCGUAAAACUCUGCUGGUAGAGAAGAACGUUGGUGAGAGUGGAAAGCUCAUCAAGUGACGGUAACUACCCAGAAAGGGACGGCUAACUACGUG
Molecule: ribosomal RNA, 497 nt
Filed under: uncultured bacterium
Lineage: Bacteria
Description: partial 16S ribosomal RNA
Rfam family: Bacterial small subunit ribosomal RNA
Source: RNAcentral